Molecule: ribosomal RNA, 647 nt
Filed under: Eleutherodactylus cf. auriculatus 2 AR-2009
Lineage: Eukaryota; Metazoa; Chordata; Amphibia; Anura; Eleutherodactylidae
Description: partial 16S ribosomal RNA
Rfam family: Bacterial large subunit ribosomal RNA (bases 1-451)
Source: RNAcentral
CAUGGUUUAGCCAGUCUGACCAAGCAAAAAGAAAUUCAGUUUGACCUCCCGAAACUAAGUGAGCUACUUUAGGACAGCCUAAUGAGCAAACCCGUCUCUGUUGCAAAAGAGUGGGAAGAUCUUAAAGUAGAAGUGAUAUACCUAACGAACUUAGCGAUAGCUGGUUAUUUAGGAAAAGAAUCUUAGUUCAACCUAAAGCUUUAUUAAUACCCCAAAAUAAAAUAAAAUUAACUUUAGAGCUAUUCAAAUAAGUCACAGCUUAUUUGAAAUAGGAUACAACCUUAACCUGUGGGUAAUUAACCACCAAACGAAACCAAGUAGGCCUAAAAGCAGCCACCUUUGAAAAAGCGUCAAAGCUUAAUUUUCAACACUUUUAUAAUUCCUUAAACUAUUAAAAACCCCUUAACAGUACUAAAUAAUCCUAUACCUCUAUAGGACUCCUUAUGCUAAAACUAGUAACAAGAAAACCUUCUCUUAUAUGUAAGUGUAAAUCAGAAUAGAAAUACUACUGAUACCUAAUAGCCUAGCCUAAAGUACUAAACUACUUAGAAAAAUCUACUAAUCUAGCUAUUAACCUAACACAAGAACAUAAAAAGAAAGAUUACAAGAAAAAGAAGGAACUCGGCAAACUUUGAUUCCGCCUGUUU